AAAGCACCGAAUUAGAAAAUGGAAUGCAAAAUGUGAAACGAGUAAUUGAUGCAAAGUCCAUAUAAAUAUAUGAUCGUUAACUUUAACGCCUUGUUCAAAAGUGCUAUUAAAUAGGGAUUUCUUGCUUACAGACAAAUUGGCAUAAACGGUCAAUCAUUAUCCCGAUUAAAUUAAAAAUUGAUGAACAGUGCACAAAACAAAAGCAUUUUCACCUUGACAUGAGAAUAUCAAAAAUUAUUAGGCCUCUUAUAAAUUAAAUUCGUCAAAUAAAAGAACGGCGCGACUAUGGUUCAUAGAUACAUGGAUAUGUCAAACAGUGUCUAAAGGGGAAUGCAAAAAAAUGAUGAAAUGCUAAAUCA
Molecule: non-coding RNA, 359 nt
Organism: Schizosaccharomyces pombe (fission yeast)
Lineage: Eukaryota; Fungi; Ascomycota; Schizosaccharomycetes; Schizosaccharomycetales; Schizosaccharomycetaceae
Source: the annotation of a GenBank genome assembly